Molecule: ribosomal RNA, 432 nt
Filed under: Nasikabatrachidae sp. WII-657 (pignose frog)
Lineage: Eukaryota; Metazoa; Chordata; Amphibia; Anura; Nasikabatrachidae
Description: partial 12S ribosomal RNA
Rfam family: Bacterial small subunit ribosomal RNA
Source: RNAcentral
CACCUGGGAUUAGAUACCCCACUAUGCCUGACCGUAAACUUUCAAACUACAUCAACAACCGCCAGGACAUUACGAGCCAAGCUUAAAACCCAAAGGACUUGACGGCGCCCCAAAUCCCUCUAGAGGAGCCUGUUCUAUAAUCGAUAACACCCGUUAUACCUCACCACCCCUUGCCACAUUCAGCCUGUAUACCUCCGUCGCCAGCUCACCACAUGAGCGAACAUUAGUGAACUCAAUGGCCCCCGCCAAUACGUCAGGUCAAGGUGCAGCAUAUGUUGUGGGCAGAAAUGGGCUACACUUCCUACCCCCCCUAGGAUACACAGAUGACCUAAUGAAACCUGGUCAGAAGGCGGAUUUAGCAGUAAAAGAGAGAUAGAGCACCUCUUUUAACUCGGCCCUGGGGCAUGUACACACCGCCCGUCACCCUUGAGA